Molecule: long non-coding RNA, 2138 nt
Filed under: Equus caballus (horse)
Lineage: Eukaryota; Metazoa; Chordata; Mammalia; Perissodactyla; Equidae
Description: lncRNA (ENSECAG00000037357.3)
Source: RNAcentral
CUCUAGGGUGCCUCCCAGCUCAAACAUUCUGUUAUUCAGAGCUAGAUCUGAGUCACAUUUUUACCAACUUGGAAUAGGAACCAGGCAACCUACAAGUGUUAGCAAGAAAAACAUUUGCUGACCCCUGAUCUAGAAGGUAAGCUCUACAAGAGCAAGAACAGCACCUUUUCAGCUUGUUGUCACUGGCAGCCUGGCACACGGCCUAGCUCAUUGCAGGUGCAAAAUAAUCAUUUGUUAAUUUAAGGAAGAAACGUAUUAUGAAAAUGUGAGUUUGCUGUGAAAAGAAUGACUGAAAGAAUUUAAAACAUCACCUUGGGAUCAUGACUGUACAUUUUCCAAAGGCCAUGGCCAUUGAAAAAAAUGCUGUCUGCCUUUUUUAGACUGAUAAAGGAAGAAGAUUGCAGGUCUCACAUGAGUCCAUGGUAUCUACAUGAGACCAAUAAAAUGCAAAGAGUUUUUAAAGGCAUGAAUUAACUAAUGUAAUUCACCAUUUGUCAGGCUUAUUAUUUCCUUUUAGGCACAUAACAUGUGGCCUUUGAGCUACACAGUUCAGUCUUUGAGGUAUGCUUAUAGUUAAGUCACCAAAACUGAUGAAUUUGAUCAGAAGAUUUACACCUGUUUGUGGGGAAGGCACUUAUUAUCUCCUUAUACUGUUAUGUCACUUGUUCAAGAGAAGAAUUAUUGAAAACAGGAAUGAGAAGAUUCAAACUUUGAAGUUGGAUGUAGUUUUGAAAUUUUGGUUACACCAAUGAAGCUUUCAGUUUAAAUGGACUCUUUGGCAAAUAUUCUGUAAGGUGAAAAAUGUCCUUUGAUAAUAUAAGCUUCUAAAUUGAUAGCUAAAAUUUGCCUUUCUCCAAGGGAGGGAUAAUUUUAUCAUUCUGGAGCCUGAAGAAUAAUUUCCAGGGAACGUGGUUGGUACUGGGAGGAUGAGAAGAAAUAGUAAUGAAAGCAGAGUUUGGAGCCAGAAAAACUGCAUUUGAGUCUCUGGGCCAGGAACAAUUUAAUUAUCCUUGCUGUGGCUCAUCUGAAAUGAGAAAAUGAUUCCUGUCUCGCGAGGAUGUUCUGAGGAUGAAAUAAGGCUGGAGAGUGCUUAGGACAUAGUAUACGCUCAUAGACAUUCAUCAAAUGUUAGUGCCCUUUCCUUGGACCAAAAGACAAAGGAAAUAGAGGAAAAAACAAGUCUCAUGGAGAAACAGAUUAAACAGAUACAAGUAAGAUGAAAGGCUAAUGUGCUGUUCUCGUGUUAUAAUUCCAAUUGCUCAUGUUUUCAACUGAGAAAAAAAUUCACCUGGAGUUUCUAGAGAUAACGUCAACCCCUCUUCCUGGUCCAGAGAGGGAGACAACUUUACAGAUGGAGAGUUCCUUUACAAUGUAAAUGUCUCUUACAAAGGUUAUUUUCCAGAAGUGCAGUUUUGAUAUGUGGUCACUCCAUUUUGUACAACGCUUCAAUGUCUCUUGCUGGCUACUCAGAAUCCUGGUGCUUUGCUAGCAAGCUGACCUUGGCACUGGAUCUCCUAUCCAAGAACUUGCAUCUACAGAUGGACUUGGUACCCAGCUUUGUGAUAGAAGCCAUGGAGAUAAAUCUAAUUACCUGGAGCUCAAAGGGACUUUGGAAAGGCCUAAAAUCUUCAUUUGUCUUUGAGGUCAUCGUUUGCUAAACUUCAUGGAUGUUAAUUAUUUUUUGGCAGGCAAGAAAUACCAAAGAAUUUGGGAUCCUCUUAAGAAGACAUUGCUUUAUAUUUCAUAAUAUCCCUUAAGUGACUUGUGCAUGACAGGUGCUCAGUAAAUUCUUUCCAAUAGAUUGAAAUAAAUUCUGAACAGUUUGAGUUUGAUAUUUAUAUUUGGCUUAUCAAAUCAUCAUCCCAGAGGCAAAAAUAACUAGAAGGGGGAUGAUCUGAAGUAAAGCUGGACCAAAUUAAUAUUAAAUUAAAUUAAAUUAAAAUGUUGGGAGGUUGACCAUUAUAGAAAAUCCUUUGUAAGUCUAUACUAGUAUCUCAAUAAAUAUUCUAUGGACUAAAAUGUUGAGCUUGUUACAAGAGAAUGAAUGAUACAAACAUUUUUUCAUGUGAAAACAUUCUGCCUAUGGCACCUGGAAGAAUUUAGGGCAUAGUCACACCCAGGAAUUUCAGGCUAAUGAG